This 1535-nucleotide long non-coding RNA is filed under the name Equus caballus (horse). RNAcentral's name for it is "lncRNA (ENSECAG00000036023.3)". The record is from RNAcentral. Lineage: Eukaryota; Metazoa; Chordata; Mammalia; Perissodactyla; Equidae.
CAGAGAGAGGGGAGCUGGAACAUGUUAGGGCCCCCGAAAGCCAAGAUACCCCAGAGCCCAGGAAUCUGAGAAGAGUCCACGUUGAGGGCAGCGUUCGCCUGCGUUCUCUGCCAAGGGGCUGUGGAUUUCGGGACUGAGCACCGUGUCCCGGGACCUCAUCCCCAGGAGGCAGGGCCAUGGGACAGCCCCCAGCGCCAGCCGUGUGGAAUGUGCCACUCUUGGAACUGAGGCUCUCGGUUUUUAAAAUUGGCUUGUAAAUCUCCGUGUAGUUUUCAGGCUUUAGGAAUUUUAUUUUAUCUGGAUUAAAGUCAUGUUCUGCUUUGGCAUAGGAAGGCGUUUAUGACUGUUAAAACAAGAAAUGAAAAAUAUAGGCCUGCAAUCAGCCGGGCUGCCUCCUGCCAGAGUCUAGGGAUUUGUCUUGGGGGCCAGGCUGAAGGUUUGCUGCCCUUCUCCCCGCACUGCUCUGUGUUUCUCCAGAAAGCUGGAGCUGGCUGCCUGGGAGCGGCUGUCGCGAUGGCUGGGAGGGCCUCAGGAACGAAGCCUUUGUCUUUGCUCAGGUGUGUUCUCACAAUGGGGAGCCACGGCCCUCCCCAAGGACCAGCGAGCAAUGGGCGCAUCUCAUUCGCUGCCUGCAUUUGCCCCCGCCCAUCCAAGAGAGCAGAAUCAGAGAGGAAUUGAACUUUCUUGCCAACUUCCUCCAGAGCACAAGAUCAUCCCUCUUGGUCUCUAAACAAUACGCCAAUCAUCGGAUGGAAGUGAGGGGAGCGCUGACCUGUUAGCACCAAACACAGCCCAGGCCCGGAACGGGAGACACACAACAGGAGCAGAGCUGGCUUUCGUACCCGGCCUGGUAAAGACAACAUGUUCUUACAGGUGUCCUAGGCAAAUGGAGAACAUUAAGAAGUCACUGCACAGCCGAGCAUAACAUGCCUCGCUCUCUUUCACACAGACACACCAAGUCAGCAUUUCAAUUCAAGAAAGCUCCCAAGACAGAGGUGACACAGAAACACACUUUGGGGGGAAACUUCCCCCUUCCCUGGAAUAGGAUACCAUAUGUGUGACUCCCUCUCAGGGUCAGUAUGGCUGGAACAUGCCAUUUCUCCUCUAUCCAGUUACCCUACAUUCGACUCUGUCACUGUGACACCAUAUGCUGCCGGAACAACACAUCCUCAUUCCUUGGAAUAAAAAGGUCUUUCAUAAGACUUAUUAAGUCUGAAUCUUAAUCAUAGUCAUCAUUAUUCAGUCUGCUUGCUGUCCACAAUAUUGAAAUGAAGGGAAACAAGAAAUAGAAAAAGACAAGUUUACAAUCUUCAAGACACCAAUGAAUAAGAAACGAUGGCGAAGAAAGCAAGAGUGACCUCAAAAAAAGAAACGUCUUAAAGUGUAAAAAAAAAAAAUCCACAAAUAGACUCUUAGCUUUCAAUAUUAGUCUUUACUUUAAAAAUAAGGGGAGGGAUGAUUAAAGAGAUGAAUUCACAUUUGAAUAGAAUCCAAAUGACUUAAGAACUAUUUGGAUCCGAAUAUUUCAGUUGGAC